GACGAACGCUGGCGGCGUGCUUAACACAUGCAAGUCGAACGGAAAGGCCUGCUUUCCCUUGUGGAUUGCGGGUACUCGAGUGGCGAACGGGUGAGUAACACGUGAGUGAUCUGCCCCCAACUUGGGUAUAAGCCUGGGAAACUGGGUCUAAUUCCCGAUAGGACUGCAGGGUGGUGCCUGUGGUGGAAAACGAUUUUCUAGUGGUUGGGGAUGAGCUCGCGGCCUAUCAGCUUGUUGGUGGGGUAAUGGCCUACCAAGGCGGCGACGGGUAGCCGGCCUGAGAGGGUGGACGGCCACAGUGGGACUGAGAUACGGCCCAGACUCCUACGGGAGGCAGAAGUGGGGAAGAUUACACAAUGGGCGGAAGCCUGAUGCAGCGACGCCGCGUGGGGGAUGAAGGCCUUCGGGUUGUAAACUCCUUUCGACCGCGAGGAAGCCACCUGGUUGGAAGGGUGGUGACGGUAGUGGUAGAAGAAGCACCGGCUAACUACGUG
This 494-nucleotide ribosomal RNA is filed under the name uncultured bacterium. RNAcentral's name for it is "partial 16S ribosomal RNA". It matches the Rfam family "Bacterial small subunit ribosomal RNA", at positions 28 to 507 of the family's 1533-position model. The record is from RNAcentral.